AGCGAACGCUGGCGGCAGGCUUAACACAUGCAAGUCGAACGACGUAGCAAUAAGGAGCGGCAGAAGGGUGAGUGACACUAGUGAACGUACAGUUUGUUUCGGAACGAAAUGGGGAAACUUGUGCUAAUAACGGAUAAGCCCUUACGGGGAAUGAGUGAUCGCUGAAAGAUAGGAACGAGUGUAAUUAGCAAGUAAGUGAGGUAACGGCUGACAAAGGCGACGAGCAGUAGCUGGUCUGGGAGGAUGAUCAGCGACAAUGGGACUGAGACACGGCCCAGACUCCUACGGGAGGCAGCAGUGGGGAAUAUUGGACAAUGGGCGCAAGCCUGAUCCAGCCAUGCCGCGUGAGUGAUGAAGGCCCUAGGGUUGUAAAGCUCUUUUGUGCGGGAAGAUAAUGACUGUACCGCAAGAAUAAGCCCCGGCUAACUUCGUGCCAGCAGCCGCCGUAA
This 449-nucleotide ribosomal RNA is filed under the name uncultured bacterium. RNAcentral describes it as "partial 16S ribosomal RNA". It matches the Rfam family "Bacterial small subunit ribosomal RNA", at positions 29 to 523 of the family's 1533-position model. The record is from RNAcentral.